UACGUAGGGUGCAAGCGUUGUCCGGAAUUAUUGGGCGUAAAGAGCUCGUAGGCGGCUUGUCGCGUCGACUGUGAAAACCCAUGGCUCAACCAUGUGGUCUGCAGUCGAUACGGGCAGGCUAGAAUUCGGUAGGGGAGACUGGAAUUCCUGGUGUAGCGGUGAAAUGCGCAGAUAUCAGGAGGAACACCGGUGGCGAAGGCGGGUCUCUGGGCCGAUAUUGACGCUGAGGAGCGAAAGCGUGGGGAGCGAACAGG
RNAcentral lists this ribosomal RNA (254 nucleotides) under uncultured bacterium. RNAcentral describes it as "partial 16S ribosomal RNA". It matches the Rfam family "Bacterial small subunit ribosomal RNA", at positions 524 to 776 of the family's 1533-position model. The record is from RNAcentral.